GUGUCAGAACUGGUCGUUAUAUUGUUAUACAUAUAUUUUAUUAUCUUUAAACUGAGAAGGCUAUUAUAUCAUUACGGGAUGAACUGGAGCGUGUUGUACAUGCUAUGCAGUAAACAGUUGUGCGACAAAAUUUCAUCAAAUAAUAUCGACUAUUUACUCAAGGAUAUUGGAAUUGUUAAACAGGAGCAAACAUUUUAACCUUAAAUACUUCCUAAUACUCACCACUGUAUAAAGUUUAUUUUCAGAUUACACGCAAAGCUUAUCUUAUUUAUAUA
Drosophila willistoni is the source of this 275-nucleotide long non-coding RNA. RefSeq lists it as uncharacterized. The transcript is spliced from 2 exons. Lineage: Eukaryota; Metazoa; Arthropoda; Insecta; Diptera; Drosophilidae. The record is from RefSeq and is a predicted model, not a curated record.